Molecule: non-coding RNA, 112 nt
Organism: Triangularia verruculosa
Lineage: Eukaryota; Fungi; Ascomycota; Sordariomycetes; Sordariales; Podosporaceae
Source: the annotation of a GenBank genome assembly
UCCCAUAUGGUGUAGUGGUUAGCAUACCAGGCUUUCACCUGCCUCUCUGAUCUCAAAUCAGGAGGGAAUCUGAACCACCCUGGAGUCCCGGGUUCAAUUCCCGGUGUGGGAA